CGAUAGUGAACCAGUACCGUGAGGGAAAGGCGAAAAGAACCCCGGCGAGGGGAGUGAAAAAGAACCUGAAACCGUGUACGUACAAGCAGUGGGAGCACAGGUUUACCUGUGUGACUGCGUACCUUUUGUAUAAUGGGUCAGCGACUUAUAUUCUGUAGCAAGGUUAACCGUAUAGGGGAGCCGGAGGGAAACCGAGUCUUAAUUGGGCGUUAAGUUGCAGGGUAUAGACCCGAAACCCGGUGAUCUAGCCAUGGGCAGGUUGAAGGUUGGGUAACACUAACUGGAGGACCGAACCGACUAAUGUUGAAAAAUUAGCGGAUGACCUGUGGCUGGGGGUGAAAGGCCAAUCAAACCGGGAGAUAGCUGGUUCUCCCCGAAAGCUAUUUAGGUAGCGCCUCGUGAAUUCAUCUCCGGGGGUAGAGCACUGUUUCGGCUAGGGGGCCAUCCCGGCUUACCAACCCGAUGCAAACUGCGAAUACCGGAGAAUGUUAUCACGGGAGACACACGGCGGGUGCUAACGUCCGUCGUGAAGAGGGAAACAACCCAGACCGCCAGCUAAGGUCCCAAAGUCAUGGUUAAGUGGGAAACGAUGUGGGAAGGCCCAGACAGCCAGGAUGUUGGCUUAGAAGCAGCCAUCAUUUAAAGAAAGCGUAAUAGCUCACUGGUCGAGUCGGCCUGCGCGGAAGAUGUAACGGGGCUAAACCAUGCACCGAAGCUGCGGCAGCGAACGUAUCACCCAAGACAACUUUACGGAGUUGACGAUUGACGGAGCGAAGCGACGUCAAAGCGUUCAUUAAAGUCGAGUUGGCUUAGGGAUACGUUCGUUGGGUAGGGGAGCGUUCUGUAAGCCUGUGAAGGUGUGUCGUGAGGCAUGCUGGAGGUAUCAGAAGUGCGAAUGCUGACAUAAGUAACGAUAAAGCGGGUGAAAAGCCCGCUCGCCGGAAGACCAAGGGUUCCUGUCCAACGUUAAUCGGGGCAGGGUGAGUCGACCCCUAAGGCGAGGCCGAAAGGCGUAGUCGAUGGGAAACGGGUUAAUAUUCCCGUACUUGGUGUUACUGCGAAGGGGGGACGGAGAAGGCUAUGUUGGCCGGGCGACGGUUGUCCCGGUUUAAGCGUGUAGGUGUGUGUUCCAGGUAAAUCCGGUUCACUUUAACACUGAGGCGUGACGACGAGGCACUACGGUGCUGAAGCAACAAAUGCCCUGCUUCCAGGAAAAGCCUCUAAGCAUCAGGUAACAUCAAAUCGUACCCCAAACCGACACAGGUGGUCAGGUAGAGAAUACCAAGGCGCUUGAGAGAACUCGGGUGAAGGAACUAGGCAAAAUGGUGCCGUAACUUCGGGAGAAGGCACGCUGACACGUAGGUGAAGUGAUUUACUCAUGGAGCUGAAGUCAGUCGAAGAUACCAGCUGGCUGCAACUGUUUAUUAAAAACACAGCACUGUGCAAACACGAAAGUGGACGUAUACGGUGUGACGCCUGCCCGGUGCCGGAAGGUUAAUUGAUGGGGUCAGCGCAAGCGAAGCUCCUGAUCGAAGCCCCGGUAAACGGCGGCCGUAACUAUAACGGUCCUAAGGUAGCGAAAUUCCUUGUCGGGUAAGUUCCGACCUGCACGAAUGGCGUAAUGAUGGCCAGGCUGUCUCCACCCGAGACUCAGUGAAAUUGAACUCGCUGUGAAGAUGCAGUGUACCCGCGGCAAGACGGAAAGACCCCGUGAACCUUUACUAUAGCUUGACACUGAACAUUGAGCCUUGAUGUGUAGGAUAGGUGGGAGGCUUUGAAGUGUGGACGCCAGUCUGCAUGGAGCCGACCUUGAAAUACCACCCUUUAAUGUUUGAUGUUCUAACGUGGACCCGUAAUCCGGGUUGCGGACAGUGUCUGGUGGGUAGUUUGACUGGGGCGGUCUCCUCCUAAAGAGUAACGGAGGAGCACGAAGGUUGGCUAAUCCUGGUCGGACAUCAGGAGGUUAGUGCAAUGGCAUAAGCCAGCUUGACUGCGAGCGUGACGGCGCGAGCAGGUGCGAAAGCAGGUCAUAGUGAUCCGGUGGUUCUGAAUGGAAGGGCCAUCGCUCAACGGAUAAAAGGUACUCCGGGGAUAACAGGCUGAUACCGCCCAAGAGUUCAUAUCGACGGCGGUGUUUGGCACCUCGAUGUCGGCUCAUCACAUCCUGGGGCUGAAGUAGGUCCCAAGGGUAUGGCUGUUCGCCAUUUAAAGUGGUACGCGAGCUGGGUUUAGAACGUCGUGAGACAGUUCGGUCCCUAUCUGCCGUGGGCGCUGGAGAACUGAGGGGGGCUGCUCCUAGUACGAGAGGACCGGAGUGGACGCAUCACUGGUGUUCGGGUUGUCAUGCCAAUGGCACUGCCCGGUAGCUAAAUGCGGAAGAGAUAAGUGCUGAAAGCAUCUAAGCACGAAACUUGCCCCGAGAUGAGUUCUCCCUGAGACUUAGAGUCUCCUGAAGGAACGUUGAAGACGACGACGUUGAUAGGCCGGGUGUGUAAGCGCAGCGAUGCGUUGAGCUAACCGGUACUAAUGAACCGUGAGGCUUAACCUUACAACGCCGAAG
Molecule: ribosomal RNA, 2560 nt
Filed under: Salmonella enterica subsp. enterica serovar Typhimurium
Lineage: Bacteria; Pseudomonadati; Pseudomonadota; Gammaproteobacteria; Enterobacterales; Enterobacteriaceae
Description: bacterial LSU rRNA
Rfam family: Bacterial large subunit ribosomal RNA
Source: RNAcentral